This 425-nucleotide ribosomal RNA is filed under the name uncultured bacterium. Its description in RNAcentral is "bacterial SSU rRNA". It matches the Rfam family "Bacterial small subunit ribosomal RNA", at positions 354 to 776 of the family's 1533-position model. The record is from RNAcentral.
GUAAGGAAUAUUGGGCAAUGGACGAAAGUCUGACCCAGCCAUGCCGCGUGAAGGAUUAAGGUCCUCUGGAUUGUAAACUUCUUUUCUCUGGGGCGAAAACCAGCUAUUCUUAGCUAUUUGACAGUACCAGAGGAAUAAGCACCGGCUAACUCCGUGCCAGCAGCCGCGGUAAUACGGAGGGUGCAAGCGUUAUCCGGAUUCACUGGGUUUAAAGGGUGCGUAGGUGGGCUAGUAAGUCAGUGGUGAAAUCCCCGAGCUUAACUUGGGAACUGCCGUUGAUACUAUUAGUCUUGAAUAUCGUGGAGGUAAGCGGAAUAUGUCAUGUAGCGGUGAAAUGCUUAGAUAUGACAUAGAACACCAAUUGCGAAGGCAGCUUGCUACACGGUCAUUGACACUGAGGCACGAAAGCGUGGGGAGCAAACAGG